Molecule: ribosomal RNA, 500 nt
Filed under: uncultured bacterium
Lineage: Bacteria
Description: partial 16S ribosomal RNA
Rfam family: Bacterial small subunit ribosomal RNA
Source: RNAcentral
GACGAACGCUGGCGGCGUGCUUAACACAUGCAAGUCGAACGGGUCUGCCCUGUUUUUUGCGGGGUGGGUCAGUGGCGAACGGGUGAGUAACACGUGAGUAACCUGCCCCUCACUUCUGGAUAACCGCUUGAAAGGGUGGCUAAUACGGGGUGUUCUGGCUGUGCCGCAUGGUGUGGCUGGGAAAGAUUCACUUUUGUGGUGUUUUGGUGGGUGAUGGGCUCGCGGCCUAUCAGCUUGUUGGUGGGGUGAUGGCCUGCCAAGGCUUUGACGGGUAGCCGGCAUGGGAGGGUGGGCGGUCACACUGGGACUGAGAUACGGCCCAGACUCCGGCGGGAGGCAGCAGUGGGUGGUAUUGCACAAUGGGCGGAAGCAUGAUGCAGCGACGUCGCGGGAGGGAUGGAGGCCUUCGGGUUGUGAACCUCUUUCGCCGGUGAAGAAGGUCCUGCUCUUUGUGGGGGGGUUGACGGUAGCCGGGUUAUGAAGCGCCGGCUAACUACGUG